CAGGGUAUGGCGCAGAUUGGUAGCGUUCCUGUUUUGGGAACAGGAGGUCACAGGUUCGAAUCCUGUUACCCUGA
RNAcentral lists this transfer RNA (74 nucleotides) under Helicosporidium sp. ex Simulium jonesi. RNAcentral's name for it is "tRNA-Pro". It matches the Rfam family "tRNA". Rfam says of the family: Transfer RNA (tRNA) molecules are approximately 80 nucleotides in length. Their secondary structure includes four short double-helical elements and three loops (D, anti-codon, and T loops). Lineage: Eukaryota; Viridiplantae; Chlorophyta; Trebouxiophyceae; Chlorellales; Chlorellaceae. The record is from RNAcentral.